GUCUGGUUAGCGCAGUCGGUAGCGCGUAGGUCUCAUAGCAAUAUGACCGGCAAUUGCCGAGAAAUCCUAAGGUCGCGAGUUCAAGUCUCGCACUGGACA
Transfer RNA from Exidia glandulosa HHB12029, 99 nucleotides. It matches the Rfam family "tRNA". From Rfam's summary of the family: Transfer RNA (tRNA) molecules are approximately 80 nucleotides in length. NCBI's taxonomy places the organism in Eukaryota, Fungi, Basidiomycota, Agaricomycetes, Auriculariales, Exidiaceae. The record is from Rfam.